AACGAACGCUGGCGGCAUGCCUAACACAUGCAAGUCGAACGCCCUCUUCGGAGGGAGUGGCGCACGGGUGCGUAACGCGUGGGAACCUGCCCUUAGGUUCGGAAUAACUCAGAGAAAUUUGAGCUAAUACCGGAUAAUGUCUUCGGACCAAAGAUUUAUCGCCUUUGGAUGGGCCCGCGUUGGAUUAGCUAGUUGGUGGGGUAAAGGCCUACCAAGGCGACGAUCCAUAGCUGGUCUGAGAGGAUGAUCAGCCACACUGGGACUGAGACACGGUCCAGACUCCUACGGGAGGCAGCAGUGGGGAAUUUUGGUACAAUGGGCGAAAGGCCUGAUCCAGCAAUGCCGCGUGAGUGAUGAAGGCCUUAGGGUUGU
RNAcentral lists this ribosomal RNA (372 nucleotides) under uncultured bacterium. Its description in RNAcentral is "bacterial SSU rRNA". It matches the Rfam family "Bacterial small subunit ribosomal RNA", at positions 29 to 426 of the family's 1533-position model. The record is from RNAcentral.